This 256-nucleotide ribosomal RNA is filed under the name uncultured Lactobacillus sp. Its description in RNAcentral is "partial 16S ribosomal RNA". It matches the Rfam family "Bacterial small subunit ribosomal RNA", at positions 107 to 355 of the family's 1533-position model. The record is from RNAcentral. Lineage: Bacteria; Bacillati; Bacillota; Bacilli; Lactobacillales; Lactobacillaceae.
UGAGUAACGCGUGGGUAACCUGCCCUUAAGUCUGGGAUACCAUUUGGAAACAGAUGCUAAUACCGGAUAAAAGCUACUUUCGCAUGAAAGAAGUUUAAAAGGCGGCGUAAGCUGUCGCUAAAGGAUGGACCUGCUAUGCAUUAGCUAGUUGGUAAGGUAACGGCUUACCAAGGCGAUGAUGCAUAGCCGAGUUGAGAGACUGAUCGGCCACAUUGGGACUGAGACACGGCCCAAACUCCUACGGGAGGCAGCAGCU